RNAcentral lists this ribosomal RNA (255 nucleotides) under uncultured bacterium. RNAcentral describes it as "partial 16S ribosomal RNA". It matches the Rfam family "Bacterial small subunit ribosomal RNA", at positions 524 to 777 of the family's 1533-position model. The record is from RNAcentral.
UACGUAGGUGACCAGCGUUGUCCGGAUUUACUGGGCGUAAAGAGCGCGCAGGCGGUCGUUCAAGUCGAGUGUGAAAGCCCCCGGCUCAACUGGGGAGGGUCAUUCGAUACUGAUCGACUUGAAGGCAGGAGAGGGAAGUGGAAUUCCCGGUGUAGUGGUGAAAUGCGUAGAUAUCGGGAGGCAAGACCAGUGGCGAAGGCGACUUCCUGGCCUGUUCUUGACGCUGAGGCGCGAAAGCUAGGGGAGCAAACGGGG